ACGAGCUUCUUCUUCUUCACCCAUCAAAUUUGGGGUUAAUGAUAAAUAUGUCAGAUCUGGAAAAAUUGUAAAAUUGAUAAAUCAAGCUCAGAUUUGUAAGCAGAGAACUAAGAUUUUGGAUUUCUCUACGUAUGUCUCUGCUCUCGAAUCGGAGUCAUCAGAUCUCCGAGAACUUGUCACGAAGAAAAAUAAAUAAAUUGCGGAUCUGUAAUCUUAUGUUGAUUCUCUCCAUGCUUCUCUCUCCAUUGCGUUUCAAAUGCUUUCUCUCGCCGAUGGUGAAAAUGUCAAACCCAAUUUUGACUUUUGUAAAUCCGAUGUGUUUUUUGAUUUGACUAUCUUGUUUUUCGGAAAAUUGCAGGAGAGUUUGAUAAGAGUGAAUGCUUCAUUGUCUUAUACUAUGAAGAGACUUCAGAGAGAUGUCACUAAGCUUGAGAGUUUUACGAAGACAUUUAUGAUGUCUUUUCAAGAUGAUGACCAAAAUGUUUAGAUUUAUCUAGGGGUUUUAUAAUAGGCAGACCCAAUUUAUCUAUGGAUUUAUUGGCAGGCACAACACAAAACAUUUGAGGUAUUUUAGUGAAAUCUUGUGUCGAUCUACUAACAUGGAUGAUUAAUAUUGUGUGCUUGUAUCAAAUUUUUAGGUGAUGACACUCCAUUAAAAGUUGUCAAGAAAAGAGAGAGACAAGCUAGUGUUUCUGGUAUAUGGUAAUGAUGAAUGGUCUUACGGGUAUUGUGAACAAAGAACUGUGUAUUCAGCUGUCUUAGUGGUAAGAAUCCAAUGUACACAUAUCGUGAGAAAAUUGUUCUUGGGAAGACAGAUUGCACACCUUUCAUGGUAAAUCAGAUCUUGCGUGAGCUCAGCAGGGAAUGACCAAGACAAACUUAUGAUUUUCUAUCAAAAAAUUGCAAUCACUUCUGCUAUGUACUCUGUGACAAGCUUGGUGUGCCAAAGAUCCCAUGUAAAGCCAUAAUUUGGGGAUUAGAGUGAGUGUGUUUAUGUGUGUUGGUCUUCAAGGCUUAUGUGACUGCUUAGGUUCUUUCUCUUAAUAGAUUGGGUGACUCGCUUUUCUCAUGUUGGUGACACAGCCUUGGAAGUUGAAGGAAACACAGCAAUGUAUAUGCAGUUGAGUACAUACUAGGUAAUGCUACUAGUCUAAAGAUGGCGACAUUCUCGACAAAAUGUAGAAACAAAAAUUAUCGUAUGUUAAGGAUGUUAAAGCCUACGGGCAAAGUUUCAAAGACAUGUCAGCUUGUGUUUGACUAACUCUUAUGCCUUGUGUGUCUCUACUCUAGAAGACACAUAGCUAGGUUCUUAAUUACUUAUACAUUUUGUUAACAUA
Non-coding RNA from Camelina sativa (false flax), 1337 nucleotides. The record is from RefSeq and is a predicted model, not a curated record. NCBI's taxonomy places the organism in Eukaryota, Viridiplantae, Streptophyta, Magnoliopsida, Brassicales, Brassicaceae.